ACUGCUUCAAGAAAUAUCGAUUUUUUAAUCGACAUCUUAGAUUUUUAUUGCUCUGUGGAAUAAAUGUUUAUUUAUUUAUUUAUCAAUUGAUAUUAAAUGCCAAGGCAGAUAUCUCAUUUUUCCGCGCAUCUCAUUAUGAACAUGGGUAUAAAUAUCAAAGAUUUUCUGCAGUUGUUACUUUCACUCACGAUAGGAACAUCGUUGUUUAAAUAACUUACUUUCAAUUACCGACUAAUUUUUGAAAAUGGCAUCAAAAUUAUUUUUGAUUAUUUUAUUAAUUGCACUUCUGACAAUCGGCGCAAAUGCUGCAGGCUACGGUGAAAGGUGUAAUAUACCCGAGAAAGUGUUCUGCUCUGGUGGCUAUACAUGUACAGCAUCAAUUAGAGGAGAUGGAAAAUGCGUUUUUGACUAAGACUUGUUUCGUACUACUUGACUACAAUUACAGUUAUUGCGGAAAAAUUCAACUUGUUUGUGAUUGUUAUGAUUAUUUCUGAGAAGAGCAGUAAAUUUCCGUUAAUUUGAGUACCCACAACCCAUACUUGUUUUUUAUUAAUUUCUAAGUUGUACAACAUGGACACUAUUUUGAAAAAAUGGAAAAAAAUUAUGUUUAUUAUAUUUUGGAGCUCAUAUUAGUGUAAAGAUUAUGAUUUCUGGUCGAAAGAGUACCCACAAGCCGCAUUUACUGUAAUUAUUUAAAAA
Molecule: long non-coding RNA, 699 nt
Organism: Microplitis mediator
Lineage: Eukaryota; Metazoa; Arthropoda; Insecta; Hymenoptera; Braconidae
Exons: 3
Source: RefSeq, a predicted model, not a curated record